UCCGUCCGGGGCCGGCAGCGAGCGCGGGGUUCGGCCGCUCCAAGUUCGGCGGUGCCGUGGCUCGGAGGCGCUUUGGAGGCGUUGAUGGCAUCGCUGGGUUCGGUUUGCAGCGGCUGUCCGCUAAGGGAUACGGUGUUCUUCCUGAGCGGGCACGGUUCUCGGUGCCGGUAGGGAUGAUAAUGGGUGCUCAGAAAGCAUGCGUCCCUUAGAGUCCCACGGAAAGGUUCUCAGUGCGAUCUCUAUCAAGUGCUAUGAGUCUUGAUAAAUUGGAGAAGAGCCCAAGAGAAAUUUUUCAUCCCUUGAUAUAAAAGGGAUCGGUGAAUUUUAACUUUGGAGUCCACUAUGCUAAGGAUGCUCAGCUUACAGGUGAUGAAAUGUUCAGUAAUGUAUUUGCUGCAGCUCUGCUUACCCAAGCUUUGGGUUCCUUCUGUCCCACUGGGAGUUGCCCAGUUUGGUUGCAUCUGGUGAAAUUCACCCUGAGACCUUACAGAACUAGCUCCAACUACGUGAGAGCCAUUUGCAGUUCUCUCCAGACACCUGGAGAAUGGGUGACGUUUCUGAGGAUCCGGCGAGCGUGCUUCUAUCAAAACUCAGUCUGUGAAAUUUCUGGGGAAAACCCUUCUGUGUCCUGAAGGGUUCAAACUCUGGCGAGGAUCCCGUUAUCAGGUGCUCACCUGGAUGGUUCCAGCUCCCAAAGGGAAAGACUCUCGUAUCCUUGUCGUCAGGCUCGGUGCUGUCCAAGAAGAUACGGGGACUAAAAAAAUCAUAAGAAGCAAAAUAUGACUGCAGGGAAAAGAAGCUGGAGAGAACAGAAGACUCAUCACGGCGGGACAGCGUGAGGACUGAAAGUGUAAGAAGAUGUGGAGGGAAAGAGAGAAUCUGACAGGAGCAGCGAACGCAUGAGUGCACGAAUUUUGCUUUUUGCUUGGAUGUAAACUCAGGAGUUGAGAGGAAUUUGGGAGUGAGAAGGGACAUUUCAGAAGGAGAAGAAGAAAAAGAAGUUGUUGCUACAGUCCUGGCAAAAGCUUUUGUUCUAGCUAAUAAAAGAAGUUAGUUUAAAAAACAAAAAGGAAAAAAUGUAGUGUUUUUUUUUUCCUUCACUAUGAUAUUCAUUGGUGGUAUAUGGUGUGUUGUUUUAUUUCUUGGUAUUAUUAACUCUGUGUAAAUUGUUUUUUGAGUGAAGCUGACUUUCUGGAUGGGUUGGUUUGUAUUUGAGGCAGGAUUAAUUUCAGUAGGGUUCUUUCAUAGAUUUCUGAUGGGUAUUACUGGGAUUUUGGUUUUGUUUACUGUAUGUAUGAACCUAGAGCUUUGGUAGGGCCAGCUGGGCUGCUGGAGUUUUGGGUGUGAAUUUAUUAGAUGGCUUUUGUUAGAUGCAGUUUUUAAUUUUUGAAAUGUUUUUCAAUGUAGUGGUUUUAAGGUGGUUUUUAAGAAUUCAUUGUAUUGCUUUAUCUUGUUUGUAGUUGGUGUAUGAUAAGGGAUGUGGUGUGAGUUCUUGAACAUUAUGGUUUUGGUGUUCCUAAGUUCUGAUUUCUUUGUGGUUCAAUAUUUUUUUUUAUUUUUAUUUUUUGGGACAGGGGCAUUUAUAUGGUGGGUUUUUAUAGGCAAUAUGUUUUUUAAUUUAGGUAGUGAUAUUU
Molecule: long non-coding RNA, 1634 nt
Organism: Melospiza melodia melodia
Lineage: Eukaryota; Metazoa; Chordata; Aves; Passeriformes; Passerellidae
Exons: 7
Source: RefSeq, a predicted model, not a curated record